GGGCCCGCACAAGCGGUGGAGUAUGUGGCUUAAUUCGAAGCAACGCGAAGAACCUUAUCCUGGGUUUGACAUGCAUGGAUUAGCUUCCUGAAAGGGAAGUGACGCGGCUUGCCGUGGAACAUGCACAGGUGCUGCAUGGCUGUCGUCAGCUCGUGCUGUGAAGUGUCGGGUUAAGUCCCUUAACGAGCGCAACCCCUAUCACUAGUUGCUAGCGAGUAAUGUCGAGGACUCUAGUGAGACUGCCGGUGUCAAACCGGAGGAAGGUGGGGAUGACGUCAAGUCCGCAUGGCCUUUAUGCCCAGGGCUGCACACGUGCUACAAUGGUUGGUACAGAACGAAGCAAGACCGCAAGGUGGAGCAAAUCGCUAAAGCCAACCUCAGUUCGGAUUGUGGGCUGAAAUUCGCCCACAUGAAGUUGGAAUCGCUAGUAAUCGG
This 435-nucleotide ribosomal RNA is filed under the name uncultured bacterium. RNAcentral describes it as "bacterial SSU rRNA". It matches the Rfam family "Bacterial small subunit ribosomal RNA", at positions 917 to 1345 of the family's 1533-position model. The record is from RNAcentral.